GCAUAUCAAUAAGCGGAGGAAAAGAAACCAACAGGGAUUGCCCUAGUAACGGCGAAGUGAAGCGGCAACAGCUCAAAUUUGAAAUCUGGCUCUCGGGCCCGAGUUGUAAUUUGUAGAGGAUACUUUUGAUGCGGUGCCUUCCGAGUUCCCUGGAACGGGACGCCAUAGAGGGUGAGAGCCCCGUCUGGUUGGAUGCCAAAUCUCUGUAAAGUUCCUUCGACGAGUCGAGUAGUUUGGGAAUGCUGCUCUAAAUGGGAGGUAUAUGUCUUCUAAAGCUAAAUACCGGCCAGAGACCGAUAGCGCACAAGUAGAGUGAUCGAAAGAUGAAAAGCACUUUGAAAAGAGAGUUAAAAAGUACGUGAAAUUGUUGAAAGGGAAGCGUUUAUGACCAGACUUGGGCUUGGUUAAUCAUCUGGGGUUCUCCCCAGUGCACUUUUCCAGUCCAGGCCAGCAUCAGUUUUCGCCGGGGGAUAAAGACUUCGGGAAUGUGGCUCUCUCCGGGGAGUGUUAUAGCCCGUUGUGUAAUACCCUGGCGGGGACUGAGGUUCGCGCAUCUGCAAGGAUGCUGGCGUAAUGGUCAUCAACGACCCGUCUUGAAACACGGACCAAGGAGUCGUCUUCGUAUGCGAGUGUUCGGGUGUCAAACCCCUACGCGUAAUGAAAGUGAACGCAGGUGAGAGCUUCGGCGCAUCAUCGACCGAUCCUGAUGUUCUCGGAUGGAUUUGAGUAAGAGCAUACGGGGCCGGACCCGAAAGAAGGUGAACUAUGCCUGUAUAGGGUGAAGCCAGAGGAAACUCUGGUGGAGGCUCGCAGCGGUUCUGACGUGCAAAUCGAUCGUCAAAUAUGGGCAUGGGGGGCGAAAGACUAAUCGAACCUUCUAGUAGCUGGUUUCCGCG
This 896-nucleotide ribosomal RNA is filed under the name Fusarium thapsinum. Its description in RNAcentral is "LSU rRNA". It matches the Rfam family "Eukaryotic large subunit ribosomal RNA", at positions 38 to 962 of the family's 3401-position model. The record is from RNAcentral. Lineage: Eukaryota; Fungi; Ascomycota; Sordariomycetes; Hypocreales; Nectriaceae.